UACGGGGGGGGCAAGCGUUGUUCGGAAUUACUGGGCGUAAAGGGCGCGCAGGCGGCCCUCCAAGUCAGGCGUGAAAGCCCCGGGCUCAACCCGGGAACAGCGCUUGAGACUGGGGGGCUUGAGUUCGGGAGAGGAGAGUGGAAUUCCCAGUGUAGAGGUGAAAUUCGUAGAUAUUGGGAAGAACACCGGUGGCGAAGGCGGCUCUCUGGACCGACACUGACGCUGAGGCGCGAAAGCGUGGGGAGCAAACAGG
This 253-nucleotide ribosomal RNA is filed under the name uncultured bacterium. RNAcentral describes it as "partial 16S ribosomal RNA". It matches the Rfam family "Bacterial small subunit ribosomal RNA", at positions 524 to 776 of the family's 1533-position model. The record is from RNAcentral.